AUUGAACGCUGGCGGCAGGCCUAACACAUGCAAGUCGAACGGUAACAGAAAGCAGCUUGCUGCUUUGCUGACGAGUGGCGGACGGGUGAGUAAUGUCUGGGAAACUGCCUGAUGGAGGGGGAUAACUACUGGAAACGGUAGCUAAUACCGCAUAACGUCGCAAGACCAAAGAGGGGGACCUUCGGGCCUCUUGCCAUCGGAUGUGCCCAGAUGGGAUUAGCUAGUAGGUGGGGUAACGGCUCACCUAGGCGACGAUCCCUAGCUGGUCUGAGAGGAUGACCAGCAACACUGGAACUGAGACACGGUCCAGACUCCUACGGGAGGCAGCAGUGGGGAAUAUUGCACAAUGGGCGAAAGCCUGAUGCAGCCAUGCCGCGUGUAUGAAGAAGGCCUUCGGGUUGUAAAGUACUUUCAGCGGGGAGGAAGGGAGUAAAGUUAAUACCUUUGCGCAUUGACGUUACCCGCAGAAGAAGCACCGGCUAACUACGUG
This 490-nucleotide ribosomal RNA is filed under the name uncultured bacterium. RNAcentral describes it as "partial 16S ribosomal RNA". It matches the Rfam family "Bacterial small subunit ribosomal RNA", at positions 30 to 507 of the family's 1533-position model. The record is from RNAcentral.